AUUUGGCCUGGCCAUAUCUGUGUAGGUCAGAGCAGGCUUGUGCAGUGAGGAGAGGGGGUUACCCAGGGGUCUUACUCCUUAGAGUUGGGUUUUUCAUAAUAGUGUUUCUCAACCUCAACAUUCUUGACCCUUUUUUUUUUGGCUUGGGGGAGGCACUACUAGAGUGUGAACUCAGGGUCUCAUGCUUGCUAGGCAGGUACUCUACCACACUUGAUCCACUCUGCCAGACUGCUGUUGACCUUUUGCAUGGAUAAUUCCUUAUCUUGGCAGUUGUCCUGUGCGUUGCAGGAUGAUUUACAGCAUCCACACACUAGUGCAUCUCUUACUCUGGGUUUUGACACUAAAAAUGUCUCCAGACACUUGCCAAAUGUCCCAGGAGAAGGUGAUUGAACCAUUGAUUUGAAUUGCUACCUUUCACAUUUUCUAUGUUGGACUGAUCUUAUCUCAUUGCUAAGUCUGUUGACGACCGUGUACACAAAACGUGGAACCAUCGCUAGGAGCACUUUCCAGUAUCUUCUUUCUGCCCAUCUUUUUUUUGGUGCAGGGUGAGGGGCAGUACUGGAGUUUGAACUCAGGGCUUGCUAGGCAGGCAUUCUACCACUUGAGCCACUGCACCAGCUCUGCCCAUCUUCUUGGAGCUCUACUAGCUUUUUUUCCCUUUGUGUUGUCAUUUGCAACACAUAUUCCCCAAAUCUUCCACUUGUUUCUAGACUCAGAGGCCUGGGAGAUGAACAGGAUGAAUAUGGUGUAGGGAUAAGGACCAACAUGUGGUGAGUUGAGACCAUGAACUGUGACACAGACACAUAUUUCGUCUGGAGAAAGGGAGGAACCUGUCACCACUGUUGUCUCCUGCCUCUACUGCUUUCCCCUUAAAUCCUCUAUCCCAUGACCUCCAUGGAGGGCCUUUCAGAUUCCAGACUGAGCAGGCAGGCCUGUGGCACUAACAGACAGGCAGCUGACACCUGGUUUCCACUUUCUUCCCUUCUCUUGUUUCAGGAGCUAUUGGCUAGAGGAAGUGGAGGGGCUGUGGGAUGCAGAGAGCCGAGGGCUAACUUCCGGACAGUGGGACAAAGAAAGCUGCUGACGAACAGACGGUGG
This 1098-nucleotide long non-coding RNA is filed under the name Castor canadensis (American beaver). RNAcentral's name for it is "lncRNA (ENSCCNG00000016213.1)". The record is from RNAcentral. Lineage: Eukaryota; Metazoa; Chordata; Mammalia; Rodentia; Castoridae.